AGUGAACGCUGGCGGCAGGCCUAACACAUGCAAGUCGAACGGCAGCACAAGAGAGCUUGCUCUCUGGGUGGCGAGGGGCGGACGGGUGAGGAAUGCAUCGGAAUCUGCCCAUUUGUGGGGGAUAACCUCGGGAAACCGGGACUAAUACCGCAUACGACCUACGGGUGAAAGCAGGGGAUCUUCGGACCUUGCGCAGAUGGAUGAGCCGAUGCCGGAUUAGCUAGUUGGAGGGGUAAAGGCCCACCAAGGCGACGAUCCGUAGCUGGUCUGAGAGGAUGAUCAGCCACACUGGGACUGAGACACGGCCCAGACUCCUACGGGAGGCAGCAGUGGGGAAUAUUGGACAAUGGGCGCAAGCCUGGUCCAGCCAUGCCGCGUGUGUGAAGAAGGCCUUCGGGUUGUAAAGCACUUUUGUUGGGAAAGAAAAGCAGCCGGUUAAUACCCGGUUGUCAUGACGGUACCCAAAGAAUAAGCACCGGCUAACUUCGUG
This 490-nucleotide ribosomal RNA is filed under the name uncultured bacterium. RNAcentral describes it as "partial 16S ribosomal RNA". It matches the Rfam family "Bacterial small subunit ribosomal RNA", at positions 29 to 507 of the family's 1533-position model. The record is from RNAcentral.